RNAcentral lists this ribosomal RNA (734 nucleotides) under uncultured Staphylococcus sp. Its description in RNAcentral is "bacterial SSU rRNA". It matches the Rfam family "Bacterial small subunit ribosomal RNA", at positions 770 to 1502 of the family's 1533-position model. Lineage: Bacteria; Bacillati; Bacillota; Bacilli; Caryophanales; Staphylococcaceae. The record is from RNAcentral.
UAACAGGAUUAGAUACCCUGGUAGUCCACGCCGUAAACGAUGAGUGCUAAGUGUUGGAGGGUUUCCGCCCUUCAGUGCUGCAGCUAACGCAUUAAGCACUCCGCCUGGGGAGUACGGCCGCAAGGUUAAAACUCAAAUGAAUUGACGGGGGCCCGCACAAGCGGUGGAGCAUGUGGUUUAAUUCGAUGCAACGCGAAGAACCUUACCUACUCUUGACAUCCAGAGAAUUUGCUAGAGAUAGCUUAGUGCCUUCGGGAACUCUGAGACAGGUGCUGCAUGGCUGUCGUCAGCUCGUGUUGUGAAAUGUUGGGUUAAGUCCCGCAACGAGCGCAACCCUUAUCCUUUGUUGCCAGCGCGUAAUGGCGGGAACUCAAAGGAGACUGCCGGUGAUAAACCGGAGGAAGGUGGGGAUGACGUCAAGUCAUCAUGGCCCUUACGAGUAGGGCUACACACGUGCUACAAUGGCAUAUACAAAGAGAAGCGAACUCGCGAGAGCAAGCGGACCUCAUAAAGUAUGUCGUAGUCCGGAUUGGAGUCUGCAACUCGACUCCAUGAAGUCGGAAUCGCUAGUAAUCGUAGAUCAGAAUGCUACGGUGAAUACGUUCCCGGGCCUUGUACACACCGCCCGUCACACCAUGGGAGUGGGUUGCAAAAGAAGUAGGUAGCUUAACCUUCGGGAGGGCGCUUACCACUUUGUGAUUCAUGACUGGGGUGAAGUCGUAACAAGGUAACCA